GCAAAGAGUGUUGGUGAAUAGGAGCGGCCGUCCUUCGGUACCGUGGCACAGAAGUUUUCUUCAUCUCCAAGGUUCAGGUAGAUCGUACAGAUGUCAGAAACUAGCUGCUGUGGUUUGAAGUCAAACUCGCUGAAAUCCUUGACUUUCAAAGCUCCCAUUUUAGGGCCAACCAGGUGUUGCAGAAAAUAGUUUAGCAUGGAGAUGAUGCGUUCAGCAAGAAAAGGAUGCACAAACAGGGACUUGAUUUCUGAUGUCAGGAAGGCCAGAGUACCGAUGGUUUCAUUGGACAUGAUGUUGUGGAAUCGAGCCAGCUGACCAAACAUCUGCAGGCUGGAC
Molecule: long non-coding RNA, 336 nt
Filed under: Gallus gallus (chicken)
Lineage: Eukaryota; Metazoa; Chordata; Aves; Galliformes; Phasianidae
Source: RNAcentral